This 826-nucleotide ribosomal RNA is filed under the name fungal sp. BG95. RNAcentral's name for it is "eukaryotic LSU rRNA". It matches the Rfam family "Eukaryotic large subunit ribosomal RNA", at positions 87 to 929 of the family's 3401-position model. Lineage: Eukaryota; Fungi. The record is from RNAcentral.
CGGCGAGUGAAGCGGCAAUAGCUCAAAUUUGAAAGCUGGCGUCUUCGACGUCCGCGUUGUAAUUUGUAGAGGAUGCUUCGGCGAGGACUCCUGCCUAAGUCCCCUGGAACGGGGCGUCACAGAGGGUGAGAAUCCCGUAUGUGGCGGGCGGUCCAAGCCAUGUGAAGCUCCUUCGACGAGUCGAGUUGUUUGGGAAUGCAGCUCUAAAUGGGAGGUAAAUUUCUUCUAAAGCUAAAUAUUGGCCAGAGACCGAUAGCGCACAAGUAGAGUGAUCGAAAGAUGAAAAGCACUUUGGAAAGAGAGUUAAAAAGUACGUGAAAUUGUUGAAAGGGAAGCGCUUGCAACCAGACUCGCUCGCAGUUGCUCAGCCGGCCUCUUGGCCGGUGUACUCUUCUGCGAUCGGGCCAGCAUCAGUUCGGGCGGCCGGAUAAAGGUGUCGGGAAUGUAGCACCCUUCGGGGUGUGUUAUAGCCCGGCGCGGAAUGCGGCCAGCCUGGACUGAGGAUCUCGCUUCGGCAAGGAUGCUGGCGUAAUGGUUGUAAGCGGCCCGUCUUGAAACACGGACCAAGGAGUCUAACAUCUAUGCGAGUGUUUGGGUGUCAAACCCAUGCGCGUAAUGAAAGUGAACGGAGGUGGGAACCCCUCGCGGGGUGCACCAUCGACCGAUCCUGAUGUCUUCGGAUGGAUUUGAGUAAGAGCAUAGCUGUUGGGACCCGAAAGAUGGUGAACUAUGCCUGAAUAGGGUGAAGCCAGAGGAAACUCUGGUGGAGGCUCGCAGCGGUUCUGACGUGCAAAUCGAUCGUCAAAUUUGGGUAUAGGGGCGAAAG